Molecule: ribosomal RNA, 2922 nt
Filed under: Escherichia coli
Lineage: Bacteria; Pseudomonadati; Pseudomonadota; Gammaproteobacteria; Enterobacterales; Enterobacteriaceae
Description: bacterial LSU rRNA
Rfam family: Bacterial large subunit ribosomal RNA
Source: RNAcentral
GGGUUGUGAGGUUAAGCGACUAAGCGUACACGGUGGAUGCCCUGGCAGUCAGAGGCGAUGAAGGACGUGCUAAUCUGCGAUAAGCGUCGGUGAGGUGAUAUGAACCGUUAUAACCGGCGAUUUCCGAAUGGGGAAACCCAGUGUGUUUCGACACACUAUCAUUAACUGAAUCCAUAGGUUAAUGAGGCGAACCGGGGAACUGAAACAUCUAAGUACCCGAGGAAAAGAAAUCAACCGAGAUUCCCCCAGUAGCGGCGAGCGAACGGGGAGGAGCCCAGAGCCAGAAUCAGUGUGUGUGUUAGUGGAAGCGUCUGGAAAGGCGCGCGAUACAGGGUGACAGCCCCGUACACAAAAAUGCACAUACUGUGAGCUCGAUGAGUAGGGCGGGACACGUGGUAUCCUGUCUGAAUAUGGGGGGACCAUCCUCCAAGGCUAAAUACUCCUGACUGACCGAUAGUGAACCAGUACCGUGAGGGAAAGGCGAAAAGAACCCCGGCGAGGGGAGUGAAAAAGAACCUGAAACCGUGUACGUACAAGCAGUGGGAGCCUCUUAAUGGGGUGACUGCGUACCUUUUGUAUAAUGGGUCAGCGACUUAUAUUCUGUAGCAAGGUUAACCGAAUAGGGGAGCCGAAGGGAAACCGAGUCUUAACUGGGCGUUAAGUUGCAGGGUAUAGACCCGAAACCCGGUGAUCUAGCCAUGGGCAGGUUGAAGGUUGGGUAACACUAACUGGAGGACCGAACCGACUAAUGUUGAAAAAUUAGCGGAUGACUUGUGGCUGGGGGUGAAAGGCCAAUCAAACCGGGAGAUAGCUGGUUCUCCCCGAAAGCUAUUUAGGUAGCGCCUCGUGAAUUCAUCUCCGGGGGUAGAGCACUGUUUCGGCAAGGGGGUCAUCCCGACUUACCAACCCGAUGCAAACUGCGAAUACCGGAGAAUGUUAUCACGGGAGACACACGGCGGGUGCUAACGUCCGUCGUGAAGAGGGAAACAACCCAGACCGCCAGCUAAGGUCCCAAAGUCAUGGUUAAGUGGGAAACGAUGUGGGAAGGCCCAGACAGCCAGGAUGUUGGCUUAGAAGCAGCCAUCAUUUAAAGAAAGCGUAAUAGCUCACUGGUCGAGUCGGCCUGCGCGGAAGAUGUAACGGGGCUAAACCAUGCACCGAAGCUGCGGCAGCGACACUAUGUGUUGUUGGGUAGGGGAGCGUUCUGUAAGCCUGUGAAGGUGGCCUGUGAGGGUUGCUGGAGGUAUCAGAAGUGCGAAUGCUGACAUAAGUAACGAUAAAGCGGGUGAAAAGCCCGCUCGCCGGAAGACCAAGGGUUCCUGUCCAACGUUAAUCGGGGCAGGGUGAGUCGACCCCUAAGGCGAGGCCGAAAGGCGUAGUCGAUGGGAAACAGGUUAAUAUUCCUGUACUUGGUGUUACUGCGAAGGGGGACGGAGAAGGCUAUGUUGGCCGGGCGACGGUUGUCCCGGUUUAAGCGUGUAGGCUGGUUUUCCAGGCAAAUCCGGAAAACCAAGGCUGAGGCGUGAUGACGAGGCACUACGGUGCUGAAGCGACAAAUGCCCUGCUUCCAGGAAAAGCCUCUAAGCAUCAGGUAACAUCAAAUCGUACCCCAAACCGACACAGGUGGUCAGGUAGAGAAUACCAAGGCGCUUGAGAGAACUCGGGUGAAGGAACUAGGCAAAAUGGUGCCGUAACUUCGGGAGAAGGCACGCUGAUAUGUAGGUGAAGCGACUUGCUCGUGGAGCUGAAAUCAGUCGAAGAUACCAGCUGGCUGCAACUGUUUAUUAAAAACACAGCACUGUGCAAACACGAAAGUGGACGUAUACGGUGUGACGCCUGCCCGGUGCCGGAAGGUUAAUUGAUGGGGUUAGCGGCAACGCGAAGCUCUUGAUCGAAGCCCCGGUAAACGGCGGCCGUAACUAUAACGGUCCUAAGGUAGCGAAAUUCCUUGUCGGGUAAGUUCCGACCUGCACGAAUGGCGUAAUGAUGGCCAGGCUGUCUCCACCCGAGACUCAGUGAAAUUGAACUCGCUGUGAAGAUGCAGUGUACCCGCGGCAAGACGGAAAGACCCCGUGAACCUUUACUAUAGCUUGACACUGAACAUUGAGCCUUGAUGUGUAGGAUAGGUGGGAGGCUUUGAAGUGUGGACGCCAGUCUGCAUGGAGCCGACCUUGAAAUACCACCCUUUAAUGUUUGAUGUUCUAACGUUGGCCCGUAAUCCGGGUUGCGGACAGUGUCUGGUGGGUAGUUUGACUGGGGCGGUCUCCUCCUAAAGAGUAACGGAGGAGCACGAAGGUUGGCUAAUCCUGGUCGGACAUCAGGAGGUUAGUGCAAUGGCAUAAGCCAGCUUGACUGCGAGCGUGACGGCGCGAGCAGGUGCGAAAGCAGGUCAUAGUGAUCCGGUGGUUCUGAAUGGAAGGGCCAUCGCUCAACGGAUAAAAGGUACUCCGGGGAUAACAGGCUGAUACCGCCCAAGAGUUCAUAUCGACGGCGGUGUUUGGCACCUCGAUGUCGGCUCAUCACAUCCUGGGGCUGAAGUAGGUCCCAAGGGUAUGGCUGUUCGCCAUUUAAAGUGGUACGCGAGCUGGGUUUAGAACGUCGUGAGACAGUUCGGUCCCUAUCUGCCGUGGGCGCUGGAGAACUGAGGGGGGCUGCUCCUAGUACGAGAGGACCGGAGUGGACGCAUCACUGGUGUUCGGGUUGUCAUGCCAAUGGCACUGCCCGGUAGCUAAAUGCGGAAGAGAUAAGUGCUGAAAGCAUCUAAGCACGAAACUUGCCCCGAGAUGAGUUCUCCCUGACCCUUUAAGGGUCCUGAAGGAACGUUGAAGACGACGACGUUGAUAGGCCGGGUGUGUAAGCGCAGCGAUGCGUUGAGCUAACCGGUACUAAUGAACCGUGAGGCUUAACCUUACAACGCCGAAG